CAAGUAUUUUUUGCCAAAACAUUUUAAUUUUUUUAAGUAUGACUUCCCACAAAAUAACUUAGUAUGUUAUUUGAUGCAAAUGUUCGUACAAUAUCUUGUUGGGUGAGGACUUCGUCAUAACAUUUUGACCAAAAACUUGAGGUAAAAUGGUAGAAUUUGAUACUGCUGAUAAUAUAAGGUUAUUACACCACACGUAACUUUAUUUAUAUUAUUUUGAAGACUCAAAAUUGUUUAAUAGUUUUGCAAUUUCAGGGCCCUCAAAUAUCUCUCAAC
Molecule: long non-coding RNA, 273 nt
Filed under: Mytilus galloprovincialis (Mediterranean mussel)
Lineage: Eukaryota; Metazoa; Mollusca; Bivalvia; Mytilida; Mytilidae
Source: RNAcentral